CAUUUUGAAUGCUUAGCAGGACAUGAAAAUUGUCUAAUUCACACACUUAUCAAGAGAACAUCCCUGGUCAUCCCUACUGCCUCUGAUCUGGCGGACUCACUAAACACUUGCCUCAUUUGUAAAUUAUGAGUGUUGGAGUAUGCCCCUGGCUAUCUGUAAAUGUAAAAAACAAGAAAAUUGUGCCGUAUGGUUUGAUUUAAUUACAAGGAAUUUGAAAUAAUAUAUACUUUUACUUUUGAUAAGUAGAUUUAAAACCAAAUACUUUUGGACUUUUACUCAAGUAGGAACGUACUGGGCGACUUUCACCUCUACUUGAGUCAUUUUCUAUUAAGGUAUCUUUACUUUUACUCAAGUAUGACAAUGGGUACUUUCCCCACCACGGAUGUUAUCUCCCUUGCUGUCUUUUGUCCAGAAACAGGCUAUGAAUGGGUGGGCUGCCUGUAAAUGGACUGACCAGGAGAUGACAUGUGUUGGUAAAGUAGGGUGAUAUCUUUAAAACACUGAUUAUGGUUAACGUAGUAAGUUUACUUUCGGUUUUGGAUGCAAUUGUGUGUGACGGAUGUAACCGAACUAUGAGCAAUGCUCUUUUUGCUCCGUUAGCCCACUACUAUAUUACUACCUCCAAUGAUUUCCAGUUAACUACUUCAGUGGCAUUCCAGAUUAACUCGUCAUUAGCAGCGGAUAAGAUCCCCAAAUGUAGGAAUUACCCCAGAAUAUCUGUAAAUUGCUUUGGUCCUGGAGCUAGCAAGUAAAGGCUCUCCUGAGCCGUCCCGACUACGGUCUGGAGGCGCAGCGGGAAAGGUAACGCAGGUCUCCCUGUGAAGGGCCAGGUCAAUAUUGUGUACUGCAGGCUGAGGAAGCUGAAGGCCCACGUCUUGGAGAGCGCUAGGGAAGGGGCUGUGUUCUGGCCUAACCACUGGAGAGUCCAGCUGUGCCCCUGCGUCAGUUGCAAGGUGGGCCAGUAAAGAUGCUUCUCUCUUGAGAUUGUGUGUUUUGCCAUAAUUCAUUCAAAGCACAGUGCAGCCACUGUUGUUUUUAGCUAUUUGAUGUGGAACAGAUUGCUGUAGCUAACCGUUUCAUUGUUGUCUCAGCCCUUUGGAUUGGAUAAAGGUGGAGAGAUGUUUCCAUUGAAUAUGUGUUGUCAUUUCUGCUCAGAGGGGGCCUGCUGGAUGAGUCAGACACUGUCCUAGCCUGUGAGAACUGAGGCACUACAGAGCAAGGAACUGCUAGUCUCAGGCCUGGCAUAAGCAGACGGUUGUACUCUGGACAGCAUUCAGCAACUGGAGAUUGUUUAACUUAAGGAUGGGGACAAUCUUUUUCAUUUAUUUGUUUGGCAGCUAUUAACUGUAGAUGUAACCUAACACAGGGUUUAUACCAUUUGAUGAAAGUAAAAUGUUGUUUCUUCUAUCUCUGAGUUAAUUGAGAAGGAGACUGAACUGAUGGCUUUCCUACAGCAGAUUGCUGAUGAAGGAAAGGUCAUCACAGCAGAAGCCAUCCACCAAUUAUUUGGGGAGCUGAUGAAGAAGAGGCAACAGAUGAACAGCUGAUGUCAUUCUGCCCCACGGUGUCCUGUUGUUUACUUGUGCAAUUUUGUAAUGUUACUUUGGGUUCAUAGCAAAAGUUCUGUCCACCAAACACCUUCUGCUUUAAAUAACAGUGCUGCUAUAAAAUAUGCUGUUACUGAGGUUUAUGAAGUUGAAAGUUUUGCCAAAAAAGUUGUUCUCGAAUUGCUCUCCAUGGAUUUCAAAUGGCGUUCCAUGUCUCAUGAGAAGCUGAAGUAGCAUGCUGUUAGCAGGCUUGGAGAGAUGCUGAUGGAAUCUAGUCAUUUUAGUCAUGGACUUACUGUUAUUUGGUCAAUUAUGUCUUAGUUGUCAUUAGAAUUUCAUAAUAAUGUGACACCUGAUGAGGAUGCACUGCCUUUCAUAUUGAAACAGAUCCAGUAUGUGACCAUUUUAUGUUGUCACUAGCAUUCCUGUUAAUUAAACAUUUGAAUAGUUCAUCCAGCAUACUCCGUGACGUGAUUAUGUGGCUACUUGUCCUCCAAAUACCAGAAGGUACUUCUUAAAAAAAAAUAUUAAAAAACUUUUUACCC
Molecule: long non-coding RNA, 2092 nt
Organism: Oncorhynchus tshawytscha (Chinook salmon)
Lineage: Eukaryota; Metazoa; Chordata; Actinopteri; Salmoniformes; Salmonidae
Source: Ensembl